This 837-nucleotide ribosomal RNA is filed under the name uncultured bacterium. RNAcentral describes it as "bacterial SSU rRNA". It matches the Rfam family "Bacterial small subunit ribosomal RNA", at positions 22 to 878 of the family's 1533-position model. The record is from RNAcentral.
GCUCAUAAUGAACGUUGGCGGUGUGGAUUAGGCAUGCAAGUCGAGCGCGAAUCGUAGCAAUACGAGGAGAGCGGCGAAAGGGAGAGUAAUACGCAGGUACGUGCCUCCGGGUCUGGGAUAGCGGCGGGAAAUUGCCGGUAAUACCAGAUAACGUCUCCGGACCAAAGGUGUGACUCCACCUGGAGAGCGGCCUGCGGGCUAUUAGCUAGUUGGCAGGGUAACGGCCUACCAAGGCAAAGAUGGCUAUGGGGCGUGAGAGCGUGCCCCCACUCACUGGGACUGAGAACUGCCCAGACACCUACGGGUGGCUGCAGUCGAGAAUCUUCGGCAAUGGGCGAAAGCCUGACCGAGCGACACCGCGUGCGGGAUGAAGGCCUUCGGGUUGUAAACCGCUGUCGUAGGGGAGGAAGGGCCUGUGAAGAACAGGACUUGACCGAUCCUAGGAGGAAGGGCCGGCUAAUCUCGUGCCAGCAGCCGCGGUAAUACGAGAGGCCCAAACGUUAUUCGGAUUUACUGGGCUUAAAGAGUUCGUAGGCGGCGCGGAAAGUGGGGUGUGAAAGCCCUCGGCUCAACCGAGGAACUGCAUUCCAAACUACCGCGCUCGAGGGAGAUAGAGGUGAGCAGAACUGAUGGUGGAGCGGUGAAAUGCGUUGAUAUCAUCAGGAAUACCGGAGGCGAAGGCGGCUCACUGGGUCUCUUCUGACGCUGAGGAGCGAAAGCUAGGGGAGCAAACGGGAUUAGAUACCCCGGUAGUCCUAGCCGUAAACGGUGAGCACUGGACCGGAGGGCUGCACAGCCUUUCGGUCGUAGCGAAAGUGUUAAGUGCUCCGCCUGGGG